This 72-nucleotide transfer RNA is filed under the name Camelus bactrianus (Bactrian camel). It matches the Rfam family "tRNA". Rfam says of the family: Transfer RNA (tRNA) molecules are approximately 80 nucleotides in length. Lineage: Eukaryota; Metazoa; Chordata; Mammalia; Artiodactyla; Camelidae. The record is from Rfam by way of RNAcentral. RNAcentral also lists the same sequence under 1 other name.
GCGGGUAUAGCUCAGUGGCAGAGUGCAUGAUUAGCAUGGAGGAGGUCCUGGGUUCAAUCCCCAGUAACUGCA